RNAcentral lists this ribosomal RNA (247 nucleotides) under uncultured bacterium. RNAcentral's name for it is "partial 16S ribosomal RNA". It matches the Rfam family "Bacterial small subunit ribosomal RNA", at positions 523 to 769 of the family's 1533-position model. The record is from RNAcentral.
AUACGGAGGGUGCGAGCGUUAAUCGGAAUAACUGGGCGUAAAGGGUGCGUAGGUGGUUAAUUAAGUUAUCUGUGAAAUUCCUGGGCUUAACCUGGGGCGGUCAGAUAAGACUGGUUAACUCGAGUACAGGAGAGGGUAGUGGAAUUUCCGGUGUAGCGGUGAAAUGCGUAGAGAUCGGAAGGAACACCAGUGGCGAAGGCGGCUACCUGGCCUGAUACUGACACUGAGGCACGAAAGCGUGGGGAGC